GGUCGACCUAGCAAUGCAUUGAUAUUGCUGAUUUAUAAAGGUUAUUACUCUAUUAUAAAGAUUCAGUACAAAUGGAAGGCUAGUACAAGAUAUGUAUGUAUGUAUGUAUGUAUGUAUGUAUGUAUGUAUGUAUAUAUAAUAUAUAUGUAUGUAUGUAUGUAUGUAUAUAUAAUAAUAUUUGUGAUAUAUGAUGGUUGUUUUAAUAUCAAUAAUAUUGCUCUAAAAAAAUAAAAUUUGCAGGAUAGUACAAUAUAUAUGCAGCAGUAGCAGUUGAGGUAGUGAGGCGGUGGUGGCGAAGGUGGCAAUGGUGGCGGUGGUAGCAAGGCAAUAAUAUUUGUGAUAUAUAAUGGUUGUUUAAUAUUAAUAAUAUUGCUCUAAAAAAAUAAAAUUUGCAGGAUAGUACAAUAUAUAUGCAGCAGUAGCAGUUGAGGUAGUAAGGCGGUGGUGGCAGUGGUGGCGAAGGUGGCAAUGGUGGCGGUGGUAGCAAGCCAAUAAUAUUUGUGAUAUAUAAUGGUUGUUUAAUAUUAAUAAUAUUGCUCUAAAAAAAUAAAAUUUGCAGGAUAGUACAAGUACAAUAUAUAUGCAGCAGUAGCAGUUGA
Non-coding RNA from Paramuricea clavata, 599 nucleotides. The record is from the annotation of a GenBank genome assembly. NCBI's taxonomy places the organism in Eukaryota, Metazoa, Cnidaria, Anthozoa, Malacalcyonacea, Plexauridae.